RNAcentral lists this small nucleolar RNA (124 nucleotides) under Castor canadensis (American beaver). RNAcentral describes it as "Small nucleolar RNA SNORA28 (ENSCCNG00000003173.1)". It matches the Rfam family "Small nucleolar RNA SNORA28". Rfam says of the family: ACA28 is a member of the H/ACA class of snoRNA that guide the sites of modification of uridines to pseudouridines. Lineage: Eukaryota; Metazoa; Chordata; Mammalia; Rodentia; Castoridae. The record is from Rfam by way of RNAcentral.
AAGCAACACUCUGGCAGAUGGUCAAAACUGUCUGACACAAUUUGAGCUUACUAGAGCAAGAAAGUCUAACCUAUUCUGGUGUUCUCUUCUCUAUGAGACAAGCUGUUAUAUAGACUUAAACAGU